RNAcentral lists this ribosomal RNA (499 nucleotides) under uncultured bacterium. Its description in RNAcentral is "bacterial SSU rRNA". It matches the Rfam family "Bacterial small subunit ribosomal RNA", at positions 8 to 507 of the family's 1533-position model. The record is from RNAcentral.
AGAGUUUGAUCCUGGCUCAGGAUGAACGCUAGCGAGAGGCCUAACACAUGCAAGCCGAGCGGUAGAGAUUCUUCGGAAUCUUGAGAGCGGCGUACGGGUGCGGAACACGUGUGCAACCUACCUUUAUCUGGAGGAUAGCCUUUACGAAAGGAAGAUUAAUACUCCAUAAUAUAUUGAUUGGCAUCAAUUGAUAUUGAAAGCUCCGGCGGAUAGAGAUGGGCACGCGCAAGAUUAGUUAGUUGGUGAGGUAACGGCUCACCAAGACGAUGAUCUUUAGGGGCCUGAGAGGGUGAUCCCCCACACUGGUACUGAGACACGGACCAGACUCCUACGGGAGGCAGCAGUGAGGAAUAUUGGUCAAUGGGUGCAAGCCUGAACCAGCCAUCCCGCGUGAAGGACGACUGCCCUAUGGGUUGUAAACUUCUUUUGUAUAGGGAUAAACCUACCCUCGUGAGGGUAGCUGAAGGUACUAUACGAAUAAGCACCGGCUAACUCCGUG